This 342-nucleotide ribosomal RNA is filed under the name Triticum aestivum (bread wheat). Its description in RNAcentral is "partial small subunit ribosomal RNA". Lineage: Eukaryota; Viridiplantae; Streptophyta; Magnoliopsida; Poales; Poaceae. The record is from RNAcentral.
AUGCUAGAUGGAGCUCCUGAGUUGCCCAGAGUUAUAACCCCCACAAAAGGCUGGAAGGGAAAAGAAGCUGCAUUGUCCUUGGAAUAUCCUAAGAGUCCAAAACAGAGGAGAGCAAAGAGAGUUAGGAGGUCCAUGUACUUCGGUGAAGGAUCAAGUUCAGGUGUUAGUGAUGCUGCAGAAGAAAUGGAAGGAGGACAAAGUAGUGAGGCCGAGGGACAAGAGGAUGUUUCUGAUGAAGAAACAAAUGAGGAGUUUUAUGAUAGUGACUUUGAUGCAGAAGAUGGUGAUGAUGAUUUUUUUGACAAGAAUGUGGACAAAGAAGUUAAUGACCAUAGAGAGUGA